Molecule: ribosomal RNA, 253 nt
Filed under: uncultured Eubacteriales bacterium
Lineage: Bacteria; Bacillati; Bacillota; Clostridia; Eubacteriales
Description: uncultured Clostridiales bacterium partial 16S ribosomal RNA
Rfam family: Bacterial small subunit ribosomal RNA
Source: RNAcentral
UACGUAGGGGGCAAGCGUUAUCCGGAUUUAUUGGGUGUAAAGGGCGUGUAGGCGGGAGCGCAAGUCAGAUGUGAAAACUCAGGGCUCAACCGCGGGACUGCUUUUGAAACUGUGUAGCUAGAGUGCAGGAGAGGUAAGUGGAAUUCCUAGUGUAGCGGUGAAAUGCGUAGAUAUUAGGAGGAACACCGGUGGCGAAGGCGGCUUACUGGACUGUAACUGACGUUGAGGCUCGAAAGCGUGGGGAGCAAACAGG